ACGAACGCUGGCGGCGUGCCUAAUACAUGCAAGUCGAACGAACUCUGGUAUUGAUUGGUGCUUGCAUCAUGAUUUACAUUUGAGUGAGUGGCGAACUGGUGAGUAACACGUGGGAAACCUGCCCAGAAGCGGGGGAUAACACCUGGAAACAGAUGCUAAUACCGCAUAACAACUUGGACCGCAUGGUCCGAGUUUGAAAGAUGGCUUCGGCUAUCACUUUUGGAUGGUCCCGCGGCGUAUUAGCUAGAUGGUGGGGUAACGGCUCACCAUGGCAAUGAUACGUAGCCGACCUGAGAGGGUAAUCGGCCACAUUGGGACUGAGACACGGCCCAAACUCCUACGGGAGGCAGCAGUAGGGAAUCUUCCACAAUGGACGAAAGUCUGAUGGAGCAACGCCGCGUGAGUGAAGAAGGGUUUCGGCUCGUAAAACUCUGUUGUUAAAGAAGAACAUAUCUGAGAGUAACUGUUCAGGUAUUGACGGUAUUUAACCAGAAAGCCACGGCUAACUACGUGCCAGCAGCCGCGGUAAUACGUAGGUGGCAAGCGUUGUCCGGAUUUAUUGGGCGUAAAGCGAGCGCAGGCGGUUUUUUAAGUCUGAUGUGAAAGCCUUCGGCUCAACCGAAGAAGUGCAUCGGAAACUGGGAAACUUGAGUGCAGAAGAGGACAGUGGAACUCCAUGUGUAGCGGUGAAAUGCGUAGAUAUAUGGAAGAACACCAGUGGCGAAGGCGGCUGUCUGGUCUGUAACUGACGCUGAGGCUCGAAAGUAUGGGUAGCAAACAGGAUUAGAUACCCUGGUAGUCCAUACCGUAAACGAUGAAUGCUAAGUGUUGGAGGGUUUCCGCCCUUCAGUGCUGCAGCUAACGCAUUAAGCAUUCCGCCUGGGGAGUACGGCCGCAAGGCUGAAACUCAAAGGAAUUGACGGGGGCCCGCACAAGCGGUGGAGCAUGUGGUUUAAUUCGAAGCUACGCGAAGAACCUUACCAGGUCUUGACAUACUAUGCAAAUCUAAGAGAUUAGACGUUCCCUUCGGGGACAUGGAUACAGGUGGUGCAUGGUUGUCGUCAGCUCGUGUCGUGAGAUGUUGGGUUAAGUCCCGCAACGAGCGCAACCCUUAUUAUCAGUUGCCAGCAUUAAGUUGGGCACUCUGGUGAGACUGCCGGUGACAAACCGGAGGAAGGUGGGGAUGACGUCAAAUCAUCAUGCCCCUUAUGACCUGGGCUACACACGUGCUACAAUGGAUGGUACAACGAGUUGCGAACUCGCGAGAGUAAGCUAAUCUCUUAAAGCCAUUCUCAGUUCGGAUUGUAGGCUGCAACUCGCCUACAUGAAGUCGGAAUCGCUAGUAAUCGCGGAUCAGCAUGCCGCGGGUGAAUACGUUCCCGGGCCUUGUACACACCGCCCGUCACACCAUGAGAGUUUGUAACACCCAAAGUCGGUGGGGUAACCUUUUAGGAACCAGCCGCC
RNAcentral lists this ribosomal RNA (1464 nucleotides) under Lactiplantibacillus plantarum. RNAcentral's name for it is "bacterial SSU rRNA". It matches the Rfam family "Bacterial small subunit ribosomal RNA". The record is from RNAcentral. Lineage: Bacteria; Bacillati; Bacillota; Bacilli; Lactobacillales; Lactobacillaceae.